RNAcentral lists this ribosomal RNA (253 nucleotides) under uncultured bacterium. RNAcentral describes it as "partial 16S ribosomal RNA". It matches the Rfam family "Bacterial small subunit ribosomal RNA", at positions 524 to 776 of the family's 1533-position model. The record is from RNAcentral.
UACAGAGGGGGCAAGCGUUAUUCGGAAUUAUUGGGCGUAAAGGGCGCGUAGGCGGCUUUGCAAGUGACGGGUGAAAUCCCUCGGCUUAACCGAGGAACUGCCUGUCAGACUGCAUGGCUUGAGACCGGGAGAGGUGAGUGGAAUUCCCAGUGUAGCGGUGAAAUGCGCAGAUAUCGGGAAGAACACCCGUGGCGAAGGCGGUUCUCUGGGACGGUACUGACGCUGAGACGCGAAAGCGUGGGGAGCGAACAGG